This 415-nucleotide long non-coding RNA is filed under the name Centruroides sculpturatus (bark scorpion). Its description in RNAcentral is "uncharacterized LOC111632608, transcript variant X1". The record is from RNAcentral. Lineage: Eukaryota; Metazoa; Arthropoda; Arachnida; Scorpiones; Buthidae.
UUAAAAAGUUUUCUGUUGUGCUGGAUCCAGGUCGAAAGUGAAUAAAUAGAAAACUAUUGAUGUAACUUUUAAUACAAGUAGGCUAUAUUAUCAGCCGGAUUAACAAACGGAUAAAAGUAACUUAGAACAGAAUUCGCCUACAAAAGCAUCUUGCAUAGGAAGACCAGCAUUCGUAGAAUUAUAUUAGUGUUACACAUAAGUUAUUAAAUUUGAAUUAAACAAUGGAAGAAGCAGAAGUUUCAAGUGAGGACAAGAAUGUCAUUGUUUGUCCAGUUAAUUACGAACAAGCUGCAAAUGCAAUGGAUAGAGUGAGGCAAAAUGAAAGUAUGUUCAAGGAACUUCUAAACGGUAAAUGCUUUAGUCAUAAACUUUGAAGCUGAUAUAAAGAAGGAUAUUCUUCAGAAUUUAUAUACGU